This 495-nucleotide ribosomal RNA is filed under the name uncultured bacterium. Its description in RNAcentral is "bacterial SSU rRNA". It matches the Rfam family "Bacterial small subunit ribosomal RNA", at positions 408 to 896 of the family's 1533-position model. The record is from RNAcentral.
AUGAAGGCCUUCGGGUUGUAAACUCCUGUCACGAGUUAAGAAUUGCCCUGCGUUAAUAGCGUUGGGUUUGACGUAAGCUCGAGAGGAAGCACUGGCUAACUCUGUGCCAGCAGCCGCGGUAAUACAGAGAGUGCAAACGUUGUUCGGAAUCACUGGGCUUAAAGCGCGCAUAGGCGGCAUUGUAAGUGUCGGGUGAAAGCCCACGGCUCACCCGUGGAACUGCCCGGCAGACUGCAGUGCUCGAGUGUGGUAGGGGAGAGCGGAACUCCUGGUGGAGCGGUGAAAUGCGUAGAUAUCAGGAGGAACACCGGUAGCGAAGGCGGCUCUCUGGUCCACAACUGACGCUGAGGUGCGAAAGCCAGGGUAGCGAACGGGAUUAGAUACCCCGGUAGUCCUGGCCGUAAACGAUGGGCACUAGCUUGGGGUCUCCCUGUGUGAUCCCAGGUGAAGCAAAAGUACUAAGUGCCCCGCCUGGGGAGUAUGGUCGCAAGGCUG